CACGCCAGUCUUUCUUGUAAUAAAGAGCAUUCUUUGGGGUUUUAUAGGCUUGUGUGGGUCCUCAGCAAUGAAUGCUUUUUUUCCACCAUUUGGAUUAAGGUAGACACGCACUGAAUCACCUACAUUAGUGAUUGUCAGUGUGUGCUUUGAGGUGAAACUUCCUCUGUGUACCCUAUUUCUGCUCUAAUCUCUAGCUGGGAAGGGGAUAAUAUUUCUAAGUGAGAUAGAUGUGGGUGGUCAUGAUUACUGCAGUGAGGAGUUUGCCUGGUGACACCAGAGACCCAUGGGGAUGCAAGGCCACAUCCCACGUGGAGAAACCAGCUCGUGCAUGAGCUCAAGGUGACCCCAGCCCUCUGUGCAGCUCACAGAGACAGUACAGUAGCUACUCUCUUCCUCAUGCCAAGGGGUUAAACACUUUGUUUCCUUGCAGCAGGCACUGGGAUCCUUCCAGCCGUGGUUUAGCAGCUGAGUACUGGGAGCAUUUCGUCUGUAUGUAGAACUGUGCUUUCCUUCAAAGCAGGAGAGUGCUGCAGGUCGUCUCAUCUCUCCUCAUCCAUGUGGGUGGAAAAACCACCUCUAGCAACACCUGGCAGUGACCUGUGCUGCUCCUUGAUUUCCCUUCUGACUUGAUGCCUACUGUGACUCCAAAUCACCAGGUUAUUUCCGCUCUGAAGCACAGAUCCACGUGUUCCCCUCACUGUGGUGUUUCUACAGUGGGAUGGAAGCAGGUUUCCUUUGGGAAGGCAGGGGGAGGGAUGGCAUCAGGUUUCUAUUUCCAUACACUGCACCAUUCCCUCAAGCUCUCUCUCCUUCACACACAAUUACUGCCUUGUAGAUAGUGAGGAAUUCCAUUUCUUCCCUUUUUCUCUCAUAGAUUCUAUCUGUCUUUUUCCUGCAGUUGAGACCAGUCCCACACCUGAUCCUCUAAGUAACAAAAGAGCCUUGAAAGGAAUCAGACACCACCUACUCUGCUGUUUUCUAUAUAUAACCACUGCACAACACACUUCCCAAAAUAAGCUGCAGUGCCAAGUGAUUGCUGCAUUGUCACAGGGCACAAGAUUAGAACCACAGCCCCUCAGCUUUCAGGAAAGCUUUUAUAGCCAGCCUGAC
RNAcentral lists this long non-coding RNA (1110 nucleotides) under Gallus gallus (chicken). RNAcentral's name for it is "lncRNA (ENSGALG00010018297.1)". Lineage: Eukaryota; Metazoa; Chordata; Aves; Galliformes; Phasianidae. The record is from RNAcentral.